UACGGAGGGUGCGAGCGUUGUCCGGAUUUAUUGGGUUUAAAGGGUGCGUAGGCGGCCCUUUAAGUCAGUGGUGAAAGCCCGCAGCUUAACUGUGGAACUGCCAUUGAUACUGGAGGGCUUGAGUACGGUUGAAGUAGGCGGAAUUUAUGGUGUAGCGGUGAAAUGCAUAGAUACCAUAAAGAACACCGAUAGCGUAGGCAGCUUACUAAGCCGUAACUGACGCUGAGGCACGAAAGCAUGGGGAGCGAACAGG
Molecule: unclassified non-coding RNA, 253 nt
Filed under: uncultured Cyclobacteriaceae bacterium
Lineage: Bacteria; Pseudomonadati; Bacteroidota; Cytophagia; Cytophagales; Cyclobacteriaceae
Description: contains 16S-23S intergenic spacer region
Rfam family: Bacterial small subunit ribosomal RNA
Source: RNAcentral